UUCCCCUUGAUAUAGAUUCCUGUUCCUCUGAAUUCUUUUCCAAGGCCAUUGAACGUGUUAGUCAGCAGUAUGUAGCAGGUUUUUACACUGGAUUAUUCGUUUUAAUUUGUAGUGACUGAUGAGUACUCAAAGUUUUGGGGCUUGUCUGAUCUUGUUCCACAACUGAAAUUUCAUUGUGUUAGGAAACUCUUUCUUAUGCUAAAAGAACUGUACUGAUUGAGGACCUUCCACAAUUUGCUCGUUCUUUUCGUACAAAGCUAUUUUGCUAUUCCCAUCUUUCUCUCUCUCUCUCUCAAGUGUAACAGUUGGGGACUUUGUACAGUUUUUUGGUUCCUUCGAGGCCAAGCAAUUUUGUGUUGCGCUCUCUCUCUCUCUCUCUCUCUUUCACACACACACAGAUCCUCCUUCUUGCUGUUUGCAAAAUCAUGAUGUAACUUGAUCAACCUUGUUGGGGCCUGUCUGUUAAAAAGAUUAAAAAAAGCAUUCCUUCUUGUUUAUAAUCGAGUCUUGUGUCUGACCAUUUCUUACUCAAGGUUGAAGGCCUGAUAUGAGAAAGCUUAAAAAGGUGUGAUCAUAAAGAGUUCAAUCAUCUUGUCUGCCAUUUUACUGAAAAUGGGAGGAAAAAGACAAACAUGAAUUAUAAAAUAAGGAGGGCAUAACAGUGGUUGAAAAAGCUGAUGAAAUUGAUUUGCAGACGACUGCCUUUUUCACUAGAACAGGAAGAUCUGGCCUCUCCUUUUCAGCUUUUAGCCCUUCCUAACUUAGUGUAAGUUUAUGCCCAGGUAGCUGAAGAGUCUGAAAGAGUCACGAUUACCUGAUUUCACUUCAUCUGUGAAGGCGACACAGGAAAACUAGAUAGUACCACAGCGAAACAAUUACUGGAUCUCUCUUAAAAGCAGACUGUAGUGACUUCAACUGAAUUUACACUUGCAAAGCAAAUUUGGUAAUUGGUCCAGGGAUGCAUCACGCUUCUGCUUCUCAUGUAUCUCAAUUUGACUUGUGAACAUCACUGCUUGAGCUCUACUGUAUGUCCUUUCGGGGAAGUAUCUCCGGAAGAGGACGUAGAAGUGGUGAACCAUCUACGAGAUGAUAUGCAAGUGAUGAUCUGUUGAUGUCCGAUAGCGAACGAGUUGUGUGCAAAACAUGUAAAUUUAGGUUUAAACCAUUAGUAUAGGAUUCUGUGAACAAUAGACCUUGUUUUGGACCUGAAUGUCACUCUCCAAAUUACUUUAUCCAAAUUAAGAAAUGAGGAAAGAUGAAGAAUGAAACUUGUACGUCUUUUCUUGUCUAUUGAAUAGAACGUUCAGUUUGUGUUGCUUAGAA
Capsicum annuum is the source of this 1323-nucleotide long non-coding RNA. RefSeq lists it as uncharacterized. The record is from RefSeq and is a predicted model, not a curated record. NCBI's taxonomy places the organism in Eukaryota, Viridiplantae, Streptophyta, Magnoliopsida, Solanales, Solanaceae. The transcript is spliced from 2 exons.